GGUCCGGUCUGGCCUCGGAGACCCUGCUCACCCUGGAUGGAUGAAUAAAUGAUCAAAUGACUGUGUGAAGAUCAGUUUUACCACGUGAGCCAGAUUUGCCAGGAAGACCAGCCUCCCCAUCAUCACCAUGCUCUCCCUAGAUACAUAUUGAGAAGAAGACCUCCUGCCCCCUGAGGAGAAGAGAGGACUUAUAAGGAAUGUAGGCUGAGCAUGACAGUGUUGCCCAGGAGCACCAGGUCUGCCUCUCUCUCCAUCAAAACCAACUUGACCCUGAGACAGAAUAACAGAAUAUUAACC
Molecule: long non-coding RNA, 297 nt
Organism: Thunnus maccoyii (southern bluefin tuna)
Lineage: Eukaryota; Metazoa; Chordata; Actinopteri; Scombriformes; Scombridae
Exons: 4
Source: RefSeq, a predicted model, not a curated record